AGUGAACGCUGGCGGUAGGCCUAACACAUGCAAGUCGAACGGCAGCACAGUAAGAGCUUGCUCUUACGGGUGGCGAGUGGCGGACGGGUGAGGAAUACAUCGGAAUCUACUUUUUCGUGGGGGAUAACGUAGGGAAACUUACGCUAAUACCGCAUACGACCUACGGGGGAAAGCAGGGGAUCUUCGGACCUUGCGCGAUUGAAUGAGCCGAUGUCGGAUUAGCUAGUUGGCGGGGUAAAGGCCCACCAAGGCGACGAUCCGUAGCUGGUCUGAGAGGAUGAUCAGCCACACUGGAACUGAGACACGUUCCAGACUCCUACGGGAGGCAGCAGUGGGGAAUAUUGGACAAUGGGCGCAAGCCUGAUCCAGCCAUACCGCGUGGGUGAAGAAGGCCUUCGGGUUGUAAAGCCCUUUUGUUGGGAAAGAAAAGCAGCAGGUUAAUACCCCGCUGUUCUGACGGUACCCAAAGAAUAAGCACCGGCUAACUUCGUG
This 492-nucleotide ribosomal RNA is filed under the name uncultured bacterium. RNAcentral's name for it is "partial 16S ribosomal RNA". It matches the Rfam family "Bacterial small subunit ribosomal RNA", at positions 29 to 507 of the family's 1533-position model. The record is from RNAcentral.